GACGAACGCUGGCGGCGUGCUUAACACAUGCAAGUCGAACGGAAAGGCCCUGCUUUCGUGCUGUGCCCGAGUGGCGAACGGGUGAGUAUCCCGUGAGUAAACUGCCCUUGCCUCUGGGAUAACUUCAGGAAACUGGGGCUAAUACCGGUUAGGAGCUCCUGCUGCAUGGUGGGGGUUGGAAAGUUUCGGCGGUAGUGGAUGGACUGGCGGCUUACCAGCUUGUUGAUGGAGUAGUGGCUUACUAAGGCUUUGACGGGUAGCCGGCCUGUGAGGGUGACCGACCACAUUACGACUCAGUUACGGCCCAGACCCCUGCGGGAGGCUGCGAAGGGGAAUAUUGCACGAUAAGCGGAAGCCUGAUGCAGCAACACCGCGUGCGGGAUAACGGCCUUCGGGUAGUAUACCGCAAUAGCCUGUGACGGUGCGUGAGUGACGGUAAGGGGUAAAGAAGCACCGGCUAACUACGUG
RNAcentral lists this ribosomal RNA (468 nucleotides) under uncultured bacterium. RNAcentral's name for it is "partial 16S ribosomal RNA". It matches the Rfam family "Bacterial small subunit ribosomal RNA", at positions 28 to 507 of the family's 1533-position model. The record is from RNAcentral.